AGUUCGAUCCUGGCUCAGGAUGAACGCUGGCGGCAUGCCUAAUACAUGCAAGUCGAACGGAGUGAAGCCUUCGGGUUUCAUUCAGUGGCGAACGGGUGAGUAAUACGCAGGGAACCUGGCCAUGGCAGGGGGAUACACUCUGGAAACGGAGCAUAAGACCCCAUAGGCAGUAAGGCGGCAUCGCCUUACUGUUAAAGAAAGCUGAAAGGCUUUGGCGAUGGAUGGACCUGCGGUGCAUUAGCUUGUUGGUGAGGCAACGGCUUACCAAGGCGAUGAUGCAUAGCCGGCCUGAGAGGGCGGACGGCCACACUGGGACUGAGACACGGCCCAGACUCCUGCGGGAGGCAGCAGUAGGGAAUUUUCGUCAAUGGGCGCAAGCCUGAACGAGCAAUGCCGCGUGAGUGAGGAAGGUCUUCGGACUGUAAAGCUCUGUUGCCGGGGAAAAAGGGGAAAUGCAGGAAAUGGCAUUUCAUGGAUGGUACCCGGCCAGAAAGCCACGGCUAACUACGUGCCAGCAGCCGCGGUAAUACGUAGGUGGCGAGCGUUAUCCGGAAUGAUUGGGCGUAAAGGGUGCGCAGGCGGUCUGUUAAGUCUGAAGGCAAAGGGAUGAGCUCAACUCAUUUAUGAUUCAGAAACUGGCAGACUUGAGGACAGGAGAGGGCGGUGGAACUCCAUGUGUAGCGGUAAAAUGCGCAGAGAUAUGGAAGAACACCAGUGGCGAAGGCGGCCGCCUGGCCUGUGACUGACGCUGAGGCACGAAAGCGUGGGGAGCAAAUAGGAUUAGAUACCCUAGUAGUCCACGCCGUAAACGAUGAGGAGCAGGUGUUGGGAGUGAAAUCUCAGUGCCGAAGCCAACGCAGUGACUCCUCCGCCUGGGGAGUAUGCACGCAAGUGUGAAACUCAAAGGAAUUGACGGGGGCCCGCACAAGCGGUGGAGUAUGUGGUUUAAUUCGAAGCAACGCGAAGAACCUUACCAGGUUUUGACAUCGGAUGCGAAGGCGCAGAGAUGCGCUGGAGGCUAUCAUCCAGACAGGUGGUGCAUGGUUGUCGUCAGCUCGUGUCGUGAGAUGUUCAGUUAAGUCUGGCAACGAGCGCAACCCCCGUGGUAUGUUACUAACGCAUUUGGGCGAGGACUCAUAUCAGACUGCCGGUGACAAACCGGAGGAAGGCGGGGAUGACGUCAAAUCAUCAUGCCCCUUAUGACCUGGGCUACACACGUACUACAAUGGCGUCUACAGAGGGAAGCGACCCUGAGAAGGGAAGCGAAACCGGAAAAGGGCGUCCCAGUUCGGAUUGAAGUCUGCAACCCGACUUCAUGAAGAUGGAAUCGCUAGUAAUCGCGGAUCAGCAUGCCGCGGUGAAUACGUUCCCGGGCCUUGUACACACCGCCCGUCAAACCAUGGAAGCCGGCAACGCCCGAAGCCGGUGGCAUAACCUUUUAGGAGUGAGCCGUCGAAGGCGGGGUUGAUGACUGGGGUUAAGUCGUAACAA
Molecule: ribosomal RNA, 1491 nt
Filed under: uncultured bacterium
Lineage: Bacteria
Description: 16S ribosomal RNA
Rfam family: Bacterial small subunit ribosomal RNA
Source: RNAcentral